GUGGUUCACACCAGUUCCCGGGUUGAAGCUGGUGUGGCUGUUCUCAUGUGCAGCCACCACCGCACCUUGGUUCCUGCAGGGAUGGCUGUGGCUGAGAGGGCGAAUCCUGGCUCAGGGUGGGGACUGGUUUUGGACACAUCUCCCUUCACAUGCCCUGGGCCUGUUUUUCCCAAGGAACUCUAAAUUUCCUGUGAAUAUGUGAGCCAGGAUGCAGCAAGCAGGCUCCUGGAGGUGGAUUUUGGGGAAUGAAGAGCCAGAGCCAGAUUCCUGAUGCGUAUGGGGCUGAGGUGAUCCCAGCAUCGACCCUGGAGUGCUCUGCACCUCCUGCUGCUUUCUCAUCCCUUUUCUCCUCGGUACCUCCGGAGCAAGCAGCAAGCAGGGCUGCAGUACCACGGCUCUUCCCAGCAAUGUCAUCGCCACCACGGCAGUCUCAAGGUCAGGGUGAAGCCUGGUGUCAGUCCACAGCUGAGCCAGCACACUGGAGGGUGAGAGCAGCCAGUAGCAGCCCCGGGGCAAAGUGGCUCUCAUAAAAUGAAGGAGGAAGCUUGGACCCUGUGCUAGCUGCUCGAGUGCUGGUUUUGGCACUCCUGCCAGUGCCACCAAGGGACCACACAAAGCCUCUCGGGGGUGGUGUGUGUCAUCCCACAGCAAUGAGAAGCUCGUGCUGAAGAGGAGCAAAGAGCUGUGAUUGAUUUCUCUAACGCUCCCCAAAGGACUGGCUUGGCUCCGGGAUGCUGCUCUCGCUCCCUUGUACCCAUGGAUGGGGACAGCUGAGCUGCCAUGGGCAGGGGAGACCCCCAGGCCCCAAUUUCUCCCCCGCGGAGGCAAAACGCUUUGGCUAAUUAGCAAAACGUGUCGAAGAAAAUGAUUAAUGUCCCGGGAGGAGGUUUAGCUGCCUUUGUGCUGGCCUUGCCUGACUUCUGCUCUUAAAGGUUUUAUUAAAAGAUAAGGGGGCUGGUGAGGGGAGAGCAACGAAUGUGCCCCCCUGGGUGUUAAGGGGUCGGAGAAGAGGGGGGCCGCGGGGCAGGUAGGGGUCACGCUCGGAGGGAGAGGUGAGGGUUUGUGUUUCUGUGCCUCUGUGUAUGGCUGUCACCGCGGUGUCUGGCCUUGGCAGGAGAAAAGACGUGAAAAAGGAAUGGCUGAAUGGCUCCUUUCUUCUUCCAGGGGCAGGUAAUUCAAUCUCCUCGGCCGGGCUAUGAAUGUUGCUGUGUUACAGAGCCGUGCGUGGGUGCGCGCUCCGGGAGCCAGGCUUUAGGGGGUCUCGGCGAGGGGAUGC
Pogoniulus pusillus (Red-fronted tinkerbird) is the source of this 1276-nucleotide long non-coding RNA. RefSeq lists it as uncharacterized. NCBI's taxonomy places the organism in Eukaryota, Metazoa, Chordata, Aves, Piciformes, Lybiidae. The transcript has 5 exons. The record is from RefSeq and is a predicted model, not a curated record.